This is a non-coding RNA of Paramuricea clavata, 288 nucleotides long. The record is from the annotation of a GenBank genome assembly. NCBI's taxonomy places the organism in Eukaryota, Metazoa, Cnidaria, Anthozoa, Malacalcyonacea, Plexauridae.
GUUUUAAAUAUCGUUCUCUGCUAUAUUAAAAGACAAUGUUAAUGUUAAAUAACAUACUGGGAUACUGGGCUUAUAUUCAGGGGACUUAUAUUCAAGGGGGCUUAUAUUUGGAAUGAGGUGAGCAUUAUAUUCAGAGGUUUACAGUAUACAGUUGAAAGAAGCUUGUAUUUUCCUGUCAUAGACACACAUUUCUGGGUGGAUAUAGAACAGCUUAUACAUUGGGUUCUCAUGUGGAUCCAAUGGUAAUUUGAUAUCGCUGCCAUCACCAAAUAUAGUAUAGUGUAGCAC